Molecule: ribosomal RNA, 927 nt
Filed under: Leptoneta waheulgulensis
Lineage: Eukaryota; Metazoa; Arthropoda; Arachnida; Araneae; Leptonetidae
Description: bacterial SSU rRNA
Rfam family: Eukaryotic small subunit ribosomal RNA
Source: RNAcentral
CNUUGNNAGAUUAGCCUGCAGGUCUAAGUACAUACCGAAAAUAAGGUGAAACCGCGAAUGGCUCAUUAAAUCAGUUAUGGUUCAAUGGAUCGUACACAAUUACUUGGAUAACUGUGGUAAUUCUAGAGCUAAUACAUGCAGCAGAGCUCCGAACUUCGGUGACGAGCGCUUUUAUUAGACCAAAACCAGUCGGGCCUCGGUCCGUUCCCAUGGUGACUCUGGAUAACUUUAUGCUGAUCGCACGGGCUCGUCCCGGCGACGCAUCUUUCAAGUGUCUGCCUUAUCAACUUGCGACGGUUGGUCAAAUGCCAACCGUGGUUGUAACGGGUGACGGGGAAUCAGGGUUCGAUUCCGGAGAGGGAGCCUGAGAAACGGCUACCAGUUCUAAGGAAGGCAGCAGGCGCGCAAAUUAUCCAAUCGGCGUUUGCCGGAGAUAGUGACGAAAAAUAACAAUACGGGACUCUUUUGAGACCCCGUAAUUGGAAUGAGUACAUUCUAAAUCCUUUAACGAGGAUCAAUUAGAGAGCAAGCCUAGUGCCAGCAGUCGCGGUAACCCUAGCUCUAAUAGCGUAUAUUAAAAUUGUUGCGGUUAAAAAGCUCGUAGUUGGAUCUCAGUUCCAGACCUGCGUUCCGCCUACCGGCGGUCAAUGCUCGUUCUGAACAGCCCGUCGGUUUCCCGGCAUGAUCUUCAUCGGUUGUCCCCGGGUGACCGGCAACUUUACUUUGAAAAAAUUAGAGUGCUCAAGCAGGCGUGACGCCUGAACAGUUGUGCAUGGAAUAAUGGAAUAGGACCUCGGUUCUAUUUUGUUGGUUUUCUGAACUCGAGGUAAUGAUUAAAAGGGACAGACGGGGCCAUUUCUACCAAUCAGCGAGAGGUGAAAUUCAAUGACCUGGUUGUGACAAACAAGCGCGAANAUUUUNUCCCAG